UACGGAGGAUCCAAGCGUUAUCCGGAUUCAUUGGGUUUAAAGGGUGCGUAGGCGGCUUGUUAAGUCAGCGGUGAAAUCUCAGGGCUUAACCCUGAAACUGCCAUUGAUACUGACGAGCUUGAGUACACUUGAAGUGGGCGGAAUGUGUCGUGUAGCGGUGAAAUGCUUAGAUAUGACACAGAACACCGAUUGCGAAGGCAGCUCACUAAAUUGUCACUGACGCUGAGGCACGAAAGCGUGGGGAUCAAACAGG
Molecule: ribosomal RNA, 253 nt
Filed under: uncultured bacterium
Lineage: Bacteria
Description: partial 16S ribosomal RNA
Rfam family: Bacterial small subunit ribosomal RNA
Source: RNAcentral